CGAUACAACACUAAUGACUAUCACAUCACAGCUGCACUCUGACGAGCGGAAAGUUACGGUCACGGGAAAAUACAACAAACGUGUCCUUCUGGCCACAACUGAAGCAGUUUUCGACAUCACCACGCUGAGAGAGACUUGGAUAGAGUGUUUUGCAUUUGUCAGAUGGGAGGAUGGUUAUACCGGCAACAUCUUUACAGAGCUGCCAUUUUGAAAAGGGAUGAGGCUCCAGUACAGCUGCAAGAUCUUCGAUCAGGAAAUCCCGUUUUAGCAAAAUGGUCAGAUGGUGCUGAACCAUCAUUUGCCCUUGCAUGUUCCUAUUUGAUGCAUUUUGAGAUCACUUUUUCCUUAUUGAAGAGUGUCAACAUGCAAUCCCUUUCGGUCGUCCUGGCAUCAAUGCCUCAGAAAAGGGGGUCCUUGACCAGAAAAAAGUCACAGGAAUCAUGACUUAUGUCGUGAGGUUUUCGAAUUUGCCUGGGAAUUUGCCUGACUUGGAUCAUAUGGAGGAGGCAAACUAAAAAAAGCCUUUGCAUAUAAAUGCAGAGCAAGAGCCAUUUCGUAGGAGUGCUGUAUCUCCAAAUUCUCUCCAGUUGAGGUUUACCUACAGGUAGUCCCCGAUUUACGAACAAGUUCCGUUCCUGUGUUGGCGCCGUAGCUCCGGUGUUCUGCCAAAAUCUACAUCGGUGAAACGUCUACUUGAGUCGAAUUUGACACCCAAAGUAGUACUGUGCGCGCUCAACUCUUUUGUUUAGAUGCGUAUAGGCAGAACGUACUAAAAAAUGCCUUAAGAAAAUACUUAAAUGUAGUUAUAUUAAAUACAGUUUAAAUGCGCUACGUGACUAAUGUGGUCAACUGCUUUAAAGCUAACACAAAAAAAUGGUUAAAAGUAUGAGAGGGUAAUAACAUGCAAAAAGUACUUUUGAGGCCAUGAGAAGGUACUAACUAAACUCAAUAAAAACAAAAAUAGUGAGUACUAGCCGAUUUGCGAAUGCUUGCGCAAGCGCGCUGAGGACACAGGAUUUCCACAUAAGUCUGCAUGAACCCUUUAAGUACCUGAAAACACCUUCUAAAAAAUAUCCCAAAACACAGAUUAUACUUUCCUCGCCAAGAUAGAGCCAAGUUCUAGCUAGACAGUGAGUUCGAUGAGACGUCCGUGUGGUUUGCUGACUUUAUUCAGCUUCUCAUUACAUCAACACUUUCAGAAUGAAAUUAAAAUAAGAUUAAAUUAAAUCAGUCUCACCUUUUAUAACAACAAUUCACAUUUGCGUUUACAAGUAGCUCCUGAUACAGCAAUAAUAAAUUAUUAGCAUGUAUCAGUUAGCAUCCGCACAUCAUCAAAAACAACAUAACAGUUGCACCCCAAGUAUUUAACCGCAAUUGAAAAGCAGUACAAAAGGGAUUAUAUACAGCCGUCGCCUGCGGGUGCUUCACAAGCAACAAAUGUGCGCGCAGGUUGUCACUUUUGUCACUCGGCUGCUGCGUGUGCGGGGUGAGCUGGCACAUCUGUACAUAUGCUCGCUUCUUGUUCUAUGCUUCCUGCGCCAAAAUAUAAGUAUGCAUGCAUCACAAAAAAGUCAACAUUGAAAAACAAAAAACAAGACGCAGAUGUUGUAAAGUCGAAAACGAGAAGUCUUGUCCGUUGUAACCUGGGGACUACCUGUAUUUCAUUCCAAACACAUUUUAACCCUUUCAGUGCCAUUUAAGUGUCCAAUCUUUUAGCUUUUUUUAUUUUUCAUCUGUGAAUUUCAAUCUGUCACUAAUAAACAUCCACUGCAUUUUAACUAGAAGGGUGACGACGGUGAAUUCGUUAAUUUGCUGCCAGCGCUUCCAGUUCAGAUGGAGAGAAGGUUUAAGCGCUGUCAAUGGCAGCCAACAGUUUUAAAGCAACACUUGGUAACUUUUCAGUUUUAGUAGAUUUUAGCGACGCGGUUGGACAAAAGCUGUAGUGCUUUGCCUUAAGGAAGACCGCGUUUCCCAUGAGGACCAGCACACACCCGAAUGGUGUCGUAAAAUCACAAUGGUCACCUGCAGCUGGAUAAAACAUGUUUCCAGCGGCUGUGUGAAGGAUGAAAAGUAUUAAGGUAAUUAAUCAGUGUGGCCCACCCCACCCGAACUCAUCGUUCUGUAAUUCCUGGUAGCAGCCCUUUCUUUUCAGACAAACUUUUUAUCUCGCUGCUCUCCCAUCUUUGCAGAAAGCGUUAGCAUCGACUUCCAUAUUUAUAAUGAAUGGGGAAAGUCAAUUAGUGACGGUGAAAGCGAUUAAGACCCCUUCAAGAUCUAAGAGCUGGCAUUCAACUAGUCAGUUGACAUAUGAUCAAAAAUGUUAUGAAAAUAUUUUAUAAAGUUUGAAAACUUACCUAGUGUUGCUUUAAUGUAUUUAUGAAGUAAUUGUGAGCUGUUCUAAAUAUUUUAAA
Molecule: long non-coding RNA, 2411 nt
Organism: Corythoichthys intestinalis (scribbled pipefish)
Lineage: Eukaryota; Metazoa; Chordata; Actinopteri; Syngnathiformes; Syngnathidae
Exons: 4
Source: RefSeq, a predicted model, not a curated record